CUACGGGUUGCUGCAGUAGGGAAUUUUCGGCAAUGGGGGAAACCCUGACCGAGCAACGCCGCGUGAAUGACGAAGUACUUCGGUAUGUAAAGUUCUUUUAUUAGGGAAGAAUGGCAGGUGGAAAAACCUGAUUGACGGUACCUAAUGAAUAAGCCCCGGCUAACUAUGUGCCAGCAGCCGCGGUAAUACAUAGGGGGCAGGCGUUAUCCGGAAUUAUUGGGCGUAAAGGGUGCGUAGGUGGUUAGUUAAGUCUUUGGUGUAAGUGCAGUGCUUAACGCUGUGAUGCUAAAGAAACUGGCUGACUUGAGUGUGGUAGAGGCAAGUGGAAUUCCAUGUGUAGCGGUAAAAUGCGUAAAUAUAUGGAGGAACACCAGUGGCGAAGGCGGCUUGCUGGGCCACAACUGACACUGAGGCACGAAAGCGUGGGGAGCAAACAGGAUUAGAUACCCGCGUAGUC
RNAcentral lists this ribosomal RNA (457 nucleotides) under uncultured bacterium. RNAcentral describes it as "partial 16S ribosomal RNA". It matches the Rfam family "Bacterial small subunit ribosomal RNA", at positions 339 to 795 of the family's 1533-position model. The record is from RNAcentral.